Molecule: ribosomal RNA, 774 nt
Filed under: Bacillus mojavensis
Lineage: Bacteria; Bacillati; Bacillota; Bacilli; Caryophanales; Bacillaceae
Description: bacterial SSU rRNA
Rfam family: Bacterial small subunit ribosomal RNA
Source: RNAcentral
CAAGUCGAGCGGACAGAUGGGAGCUUGCUCCCUGAUGUUAGCGGCGGACGGGUGAGUAACACGUGGGUAACCUGCCUGUAAGACUGGGAUAACUCCGGGAAACCGGGGCUAAUACCGGAUGCUUGUUUGAACCGCAUGGUUCAAACAUAAAAGGUGGCUUCGGCUACCACUUACAGAUGGACCCGCGGCGCAUUAGCUAGUUGGUGAGGUAACGGCUCACCAAGGCAACGAUGCGUAGCCGACCUGAGAGGGUGAUCGGCCACACUGGGACUGAGACACGGCCCAGACUCCUACGGGAGGCAGCAGUAGGGAAUCUUCCGCAAUGGACGAAAGUCUGACGGAGCAACGCCGCGUGAGUGAUGAAGGUUUUCGGAUCGUAAAGCUCUGUUGUUAGGGAAGAACAAGUACCGUUCAAAUAGGGCGGUACCUUGACGGUACCUAACCAGAAAGCCACGGCUAACUACGUGCCAGCAGCCGCGGUAAUACGUAGGUGGCAAGCGUUGUCCGGAAUUAUUGGGCGUAAAGGGCUCGCAGGCGGUUCCUUAAGUCUGAUGUGAAAGCCCCCGGCUCAACCGGGGAGGGUCAUUGGAAACUGGGGAACUUGAGUGCAGAAGAGGAGAGUGGAAUUCCACGUGUAGCGGUGAAAUGCGUAGAGAUGUGGAGGAACACCAGUGGCGAAGGCGACUCUCUGGUCUGUAACUGACGCUGAGGAGCGAAAGCGUGGGGAGCGAACAGGAUUAGAUACCCUGGUAGUCCACGCCGUAAACGAUGAGU